RNAcentral lists this ribosomal RNA (1072 nucleotides) under low G+C Gram-positive bacterium D-N(0)-4D. Its description in RNAcentral is "bacterial SSU rRNA". It matches the Rfam family "Bacterial small subunit ribosomal RNA", at positions 333 to 1397 of the family's 1533-position model. Lineage: Bacteria; Bacillati; Bacillota. The record is from RNAcentral.
AAACUCCUACGGGAGGCAGCAGUAGGGAAUCUUCCACAAUGGACGAAAGUCUGAUGGAGCAACGCCGCGUGAGUGAUGAAGGUUUUCGGAUCGUAAAACUCUGUUGUAAGGGAAGAACAAGUACGUUAGGAAAUGAACGUACCUUGACGGUACCUUAUUAGAAAGCCACGGCUAACUACGUGCCAGCAGCCGCGGUAAUACGUAGGUGGCAAGCGUUGUCCGGAUUUAUUGGGCGUAAAGCGCGCGCAGGCGGUUUCUUAAGUCUGAUGUGAAAGCCCACGGCUUAACCGUGGAGGGUCAUUGGAAACUGGGAGACUUGAGUGCAGAAGAGGAAAGUGGAAUUCCAAGUGUAGCGGUGAAAUGCGUAGAGAUUUGGAGGAACACCAGUGGCGAAGGCGACUUUCUGGUCUGCAACUGACGCUGAGGCGCGAAAGCAUGGGAGCAAACAGGAUUAGAUACCCUGGUAGUCCAUGCCGUAAACGAUGAGUGCUAAGUGUUAGGGGGUUUCCGCCCCUUAGUGCUGCAGCUAACGCAUUAAGCACUCCGCCUGGGGAGUACGACCGCAAGGUUGAAACUCAAAGGAAUUGACGGGGGCCCGCACAAGCGGUGGAGCAUGUGGUUUAAUUCGAAGCAACGCGAAGAACCUUACCAGGUCUUGACAUCCCAGUGACCACUCUAGAGAUAGAGUUUUCCCUUCGGGGACAUUGGUGACAGGUGGUGCAUGGUUGUCGUCAGCUCGUGUCGUGAGAUGUUGGGUUAAGUCCCGCAACGAGCGCAACCCUUAAUCUUAGUUGCCAUCAUUUAGUUGGGCACUCUAAGGUGACUGCCGGUGACAAACCGGAGGAAGGUGGGGAUGACGUCAAAUCAUCAUGCCCCUUAUGACCUGGGCUACACACGUGCUACAAUGGACGGUACAAAGAGUCGCUAACUCGCGAGAGCACGCUAAUCUCAUAAAACCGUUCUCAGUUCGGAUUGUAGGCUGCAACUCGCCUACAUGAAGCCGGAAUCGCUAGUAAUCGCGGAUCAGCAUGCCGCGGUGAAUACGUUCCCGGGCCUUGUACACACCGCCCGU